UACGAAGGGUGCAAGCGUUACUCGGAAUUACUGGGCGUAAAGGGCGCGUAGGCGGGAUGGCAAGUCGGUCGUGAAAUCCCUCGGCUCAACUGAGGAUCGUCGAUCGAUACUGCCGUUCUUGAGGAUUGCAGAGGAGACUGGAAUUCCCGGUGUAGCGGUGAAAUGUGUAGAGAUCGGGAGGAACACCGGUGGCGAAGGCGGGUCUCUGGGCAAUUCCUGACGCUGAGGCGCGAAAGCGUGGGGAGCAAACGGG
This 253-nucleotide ribosomal RNA is filed under the name uncultured bacterium. Its description in RNAcentral is "partial 16S ribosomal RNA". It matches the Rfam family "Bacterial small subunit ribosomal RNA", at positions 524 to 776 of the family's 1533-position model. The record is from RNAcentral.